CACGUAGGGUGCAAGCGUUGUCCGGAUUCAUUGGGCGUAAAGGGCUAGUAGGCGGCUUAGCAAGUCGGGUGUGAAAACUUCAGGCUCAACCUGGAGCGGCCAUCCGAUACUGCUAUGGCUAGAGUCCGGUAGGGGACCACGGAAUUCCUGGUGUAGCGGUGAAAUGCGCAGAUAUCAGGAGGAACACCCAUAGCGAAGGCAGCUCGCUGGGACGGUACUGACGCUGAGGCGCGAAAGCGUGGGGAGCGAACAGG
This 254-nucleotide ribosomal RNA is filed under the name uncultured bacterium. Its description in RNAcentral is "partial 16S ribosomal RNA". It matches the Rfam family "Bacterial small subunit ribosomal RNA", at positions 524 to 776 of the family's 1533-position model. The record is from RNAcentral.